RNAcentral lists this ribosomal RNA (492 nucleotides) under uncultured bacterium. Its description in RNAcentral is "partial 16S ribosomal RNA". It matches the Rfam family "Bacterial small subunit ribosomal RNA", at positions 29 to 507 of the family's 1533-position model. The record is from RNAcentral.
AGUGAACGCUGGCGGUAGGCCUAACACAUGCAAGUCGAACGGCAGCACAGUAAGAGCUUGCUCUUACGGGUGGCGAGUGGCGGACGGGUGAGGAAUACAUCGGAAUCUACUUUUUCGUGGGGGAUAACGUAGGGAAACUUACGCUAAUACCGCAUACUACCUACGGGUGAAAGCAGGGGAUCUUCGGACCUUGCGCGAUUGAAUGAGCCGAUGUCGGAUUAGCUAGUUGGCGGGGUAAAGGCCCACCAAGGCGACGAUCCGUAGCUGGUCUGAGAGGAUGAUCAGCCACACUGGAACUGAGACACGGUCCAGACUCCUACGGGAGGCAGCAGUGGGGAAUAUUGGACAAUGGGAGCAAGCCUGAUCCAGCCAUACCGCGUGGGUGAAGAAGGCCUUCGGGUUGUAAAGCCCUUUUGUUGGGAAAGAAAAGCAGCGGGUUAAUACCCCGCUGUUCUGACGGUACCCAAAGAAUAAGCACCGGCUAACUUCGUG